Molecule: long non-coding RNA, 1576 nt
Organism: Equus caballus (horse)
Lineage: Eukaryota; Metazoa; Chordata; Mammalia; Perissodactyla; Equidae
Source: Ensembl
CCCCACGUCCCCACCACCCACAAGGGACAGUUAUUAUUCCUUUAUUUGCCUGUUUUCUAACUAUAACACGUAACAUGGUACAGAGAAAGCUGAGGUCCCCUCAUUCCUCCAGCCUGAGUCCCACCUUCUCCCUGUGCUGUGACAGCUGAGAAGAUCACUCUUGAAUUUCACUUUUGUUAUUUUCAGCCCUCCAUGUUUCAAAUAGGUAAUUCAUUCACUCAUUUCAAAAUUCCAAAGGCACCAAGGGUAGACAGGAGGAAGGCCCUCGCUCCCACUCUGCACGGCAGCAGGUCUGCACGUAUGAAGCCAGGAGCCGCAGGCGGCCAGUCUUCAAGCAGCACGUCCCCAGCAGGUGGUGGAAUGGAGGUUGUCACUGGGCUCCAGCUGUGUUUCCUUUGCAGGAACGCCAUCUUUAGUGGCCAUGUCACGUGUCCAUCAUUAUUAGGAUUAGGUGUCGUUGAGAGAGACAGAAACUCCAAGCAGCAGCAGCUUAAACAAAGUACAUGUGUAUUUCUCUCUUACAUGGAUAAAGUCUUGGGGUAGGAGGCCGAAAGCUGGUAGGGUGGUUCCAUAGUCAUCAGAGACCUACCUUAUUGCUCUCCCAUCCUCGACACAAGGCUUCUACUUCAUGGUGCAAUAAGGCUGCUUGACCUCCAGCCAUCACAUCCCCAUUCUAGCCAUUAGGUAAGAAGGGCCCACUGCUUCCCUUUUAGGAUGUCUCCCAAAGCUGCAAGUGUCAUCUUCUCUUGCAUUCUUGGCCAGAGUUGAAUGGUGUAGCCAUCUCUCACUGUGAGGAGCUGGGAAGCGUAGUCUUGACCCUGGCUGGCUGUGCUCCCGCUGAUACUUGGAGGCUCCAUUGCUGACAAAGGAGGCGAUAAUAUCAAAGGAGGCGAUAAAUACCAAGGGACGACAGGCAGGCUCUACUCUGAGCCUGAGCUGUAUUUGGAGGGGACAAUCCCCUCCCACGUGGAGUGCACCGUGCCGAUGGCAGAGGCCCCGGCCAGGCUCUGGAGACCCUCCCAACAGCCCUCCUGACAGCCCCAGGGGCCACGGGGAGCUCGGCUGGCACCGCUGCCAGGCAGGAACCUAGGGCCAGGCCCUCGGGGGCACGGGCGCUGCACCAGUGCUCCGCCAGGCCGCGAGCUCCCCGCGAAGGGGAGCACGUGGGUCCCCACGCUGCUGCUCAUGGUCUAUGGAGGGCCGGGCCUGAGGGGAAGCGCAGGGACCGCCCAGCUGCUGGGCCCCUGGGGCCGGCUGUUUGCAGGCCGGGUCAGCGGCAGCGCCGGAGAAAUGGCGGUGUGGCGACUUCCCACGGAGAGCCGGCGUCCCAUGGCUGGUGGGCGGGAACCCCGCACCUGCCUGCGGUGGGGGGUCCCGGGGGCACGGGGAGGCGCUGAGAGAGGGGUGGCAGGGCCAGGAGAGCUGAGAUGCGGGCUGUCAGCAGAGCAUCAGAAGGGCAGCCUGGUCCCCGGGGGGCUUUCUGGGGCUCACUGAAGCCAAGAGGGUGCCCCUGAGCUCCCACUGCCCUGGACGGACUGCAGGGGAGCCGGCAAGGAUGGAGGCUGGCCGCCCUGGC